Molecule: ribosomal RNA, 1465 nt
Filed under: Leuconostoc pseudomesenteroides
Lineage: Bacteria; Bacillati; Bacillota; Bacilli; Lactobacillales; Lactobacillaceae
Description: bacterial SSU rRNA
Rfam family: Bacterial small subunit ribosomal RNA
Source: RNAcentral
CGCUGGCGGCGUGCCUAAUACAUGCAAGUCGAACGCACAGCGAAAGGUGCUUGCACCUUUCAAGUGAGUGGCGAACGGGUGAGUAACACGUGGACAACCUGCCUCAAGGCUGGGGAUAACAUUUGGAAACAGAUGCUAAUACCGAAUGAAACUUAGUGUCGCAUGAUACGAAGUUAAAAGGCGCUUUGGCGUCACCUAGAGAUGGAUCCGCGGUGCAUUAGUUAGUUGGUGGGGUAAAGGCCUACCAAGACAAUGAUGCAUAGCCGAGUUGAGAGACUGAUCGGCCACAUUGGGACUGAGACACGGCCCAAACUCCUACGGGAGGCUGCAGUAGGGAAUCUUCCACAAUGGGCGAAAGCCUGAUGGAGCAACGCCGCGUGUGUGAUGAAGGCUUUCGGGUCGUAAAGCACUGUUGUAUGGGAAGAACAGCUAGAAUAGGGAAUGAUUUUAGUUUGACGGUACCAUACCAGAAAGGGACGGCUAAAUACGUGCCAGCAGCCGCGGUAAUACGUAUGUCCCGAGCGUUAUCCGGAUUUAUUGGGCGUAAAGCGAGCGCAGACGGUUGAUUAAGUCUGAUGUGAAAGCCCGGAGCUCAACUCCGGAAUGGCAUUGGAAACUGGUUAACUUGAGUGCAGUAGAGGUAAGUGGAACUCCAUGUGUAGCGGUGGAAUGCGUAGAUAUAUGGAAGAACACCAGUGGCGAAGGCGGCUUACUGGACUGUAACUGACGUUGAGGCUCGAAAGUGUGGGUAGCAAACAGGAUUAGAUACCCUGGUAGUCCACACCGUAAACGAUGAACACUAGGUGUUAGGAGGUUUCCGCCUCUUAGUGCCGAAGCUAACGCAUUAAGUGUUCCGCCUGGGGAGUACGACCGCAAGGUUGAAACUCAAAGGAAUUGACGGGGACCCGCACAAGCGGUGGAGCAUGUGGUUUAAUUCGAAGCAACGCGAAGAACCUUACCAGGUCUUGACAUCCUUUGAAGCUUUUAGAGAUAGAAGUGUUCUCUUCGGAGACAAAGUGACAGGUGGUGCAUGGUCGUCGUCAGCUCGUGUCGUGAGAUGUUGGGUUAAGUCCCGCAACGAGCGCAACCCUUAUUGUUAGUUGCCAGCAUUCAGAUGGGCACUCUAGCGAGACUGCCGGUGACAAACCGGAGGAAGGCGGGGACGACGUCAGAUCAUCAUGCCCCUUAUGACCUGGGCUACACACGUGCUACAAUGGCGUAUACAACGAGUUGCCAACCCGCGAGGGUGAGCUAAUCUCUUAAAGUACGUCUCAGUUCGGAUUGUAGUCUGCAACUCGACUACAUGAAGUCGGAAUCGCUAGUAAUCGCGGAUCAGCACGCCGCGGUGAAUACGUUCCCGGGUCUUGUACACACCGCCCGUCACACCAUGGGAGUUUGUAAUGCCCAAAGCCGGUGGCCUAACCUUUUAGGAAGGAGCCGUCUAAGGCAGGACAGAUGACUGGGG